GCAACUGCCAUCGGUUAUCGCUCAUCAUUUUUAGCGCACGGCUCUCUGAGCCAUUUCCCUGGACCGGUCACUGGAGUUGUGUCCGGUCUUUUUUU
This 95-nucleotide small RNA is filed under the name Tatumella ptyseos ATCC 33301. The record is from RNAcentral. Lineage: Bacteria; Pseudomonadati; Pseudomonadota; Gammaproteobacteria; Enterobacterales; Erwiniaceae.